UUUUCAGUGUAAGUGUGUCUUAUGCAAUAUUUGGGACAUACUUGUACUAAAA
Molecule: microRNA precursor, 52 nt
Filed under: Myotis lucifugus (little brown bat)
Lineage: Eukaryota; Metazoa; Chordata; Mammalia; Chiroptera; Vespertilionidae
Description: mir-1302 microRNA precursor family
Rfam family: mir-1302 microRNA precursor family
Source: Rfam by way of RNAcentral